RNA transcript from Chenopodium quinoa (quinoa), 2064 nucleotides. It is a transcript of the gene named 26S proteasome non-ATPase regulatory subunit 4 homolog, with no coding region annotated. The record is from RefSeq and is a predicted model, not a curated record. The transcript has 4 exons. NCBI's taxonomy places the organism in Eukaryota, Viridiplantae, Streptophyta, Magnoliopsida, Caryophyllales, Amaranthaceae.
UGGUGCUAUUACUUUGCGACCCUGAAUUCAAUGAAUUGCCGAUGUCCCUUUAUUGUUUCUGUUUCUUUGGUGGCCUUGCAUUUGGCAGCUGUCUGAGCCAGUUCUUUCUAUCUCUUAACUCUCAAGUCUUCUUCCUUCUUCUCCUCUCACUGUCUUUCUCUCUCCUCCCGUUUCUCCUCUCCCCGCUCUCACUAGCUAUCUCCUCCAUUGAAUCGACUAUGAUCUGCAUCGAUAAUUAGGAUUGGAUGCGUAAUGGAGAUUACUCGCCCACCAGAUUUCAAGCUCUUUUCGAUGCUGUUAACCUCAUCUGCGGCGCUAAAACUCAGUCUAAUCCGGAGAAUACUGUCGUAAUUCUGACUAUGGCUGGAAAAGGUGUUCGUGUUUUUGUCACUCCCACCAGUGAUCUUGGAAAGAUAUUGGCUUGUAUGCACGGUUAGUUUUCGAUCGAUCCUCUAAUGCCUUCCGUUUUCAGUAUUAAGUUAGUUCCUCGAUCCUCCAAUGCCUUCAAUUUUCAGUAUCCUUUAAUUCUUUGGCAGAAUGGGACUUCAGAAGAGGUGGUGAAGAUAGUAGAAACUCUCAAUGCAGGUGAAGGUCAUGAAAAGGGAGGAGUUAGAAAAACAGAGAGGGAUCAUGAAAGAUAAAUGAAGCUGCAAGAACAAGGGAAAGUUAAGCAAGCAAAGAAAGACUUAGGUCAGUUUUGGGAUUAUAUUCUCACUUUUGCUGUCAAAUACUUGUAUUGAUUGUAUGUUCUGUCUGCACUUCUUAAAGAAGCAGGAAAUAGAUAAUGUACCUAAAGUAGAUGAGGCUUGGAUGAGCUUUGAAUAACUUAAUGUAUGAGCUAUCGAAUUUGCUAUAGAAUACUUUAUAAUAAGCAAAUCAACCUCCAUACAUUUUAUAGGCGAUUUAAUUUUAAAUGCUUAGUUUGAAUAUUUGCAUACAUCCUACUAACUUGAUACAUAAGGCUUCAAAUCCCUUUUGCUUUGUGUUUGGGUUGAUGAAUUGGAAGGAAGAGCCUGGGAGAUAAUAAAGGCAAUAUAUAUGUAUUGCAUUCUCUCUUUUGAUUUUAAAAAAGGGGAGGGUAAUUAAAAGGGUUCAUUUUCCUGACAUAUAAUACACCAAGCUACUCACAAGCGCAAGCCAGGAAGUUAUGGGAUAGACUUUGUGAAUUAGCUUAAGCUGCACACAUAAACAUCUUAAAGGCCGAGUCUAUGUUAGUUAUAUCAGAUUUGUUUUAUUUCUUUGCUUUGUUUUCUGAUGUGUAUAUAGAUUAGGUUUUUUUUUUUAUUUUUUAUUUUUUUUAUUUUUUCAUUUUUUUUGUGCCUUGUGUAUAUAAGUCUAGGCCAUGCUUUGCCCCCGAGCUCUAUAGCAGAUAAAGUGUAUAAAGCUGUUAAAGGCAGCUAGAAUAGUAGAAUUAAGUAUCUUGAAUUUAAAGCAUCAGUUUUUGCAUAUGCCUUCAUCAUCAUUGAUGUCUUAAAUAUAUGUCCGCAAGUUAAUACAUUUGUUCUUUUUUGUUUGUUUAUCUCUGUAACUGAUAUAUCUGCAGGUUAAUAAUUUGGUGGUUACAAAUAUCUCUUAACAUGGGUGACAUUUAGAAUGCUCCUCUUUCACAAGAGGAAACUACUUGUAGGUCUCUUUUUAUGAACUUUAGGUAUAAUAGAAGCUAAUUGUUUAUCGUGUUUUCAUCAGUGAUUAGCUCUAUUUUUUUUAUUCUACUUUUUUUUCAGAUAAUUUGGGAUGUAGUGGGCAAGCCUGAAAUAUCUAGGGCCAAAGCUUGAGCUUGAGCUUGAACAAGAAUGCAUAGAAGUAUACACGAGCAAAGUUGAUGUGGCUAACCACUCUAGAGCUCAGCUACAACUGGCUAUUGAUGAUUCAGAUGCAGAAAUUGCAACCAUCUAUUCUGCAAUUGGAGAACUUCCAUUACAUAUCAGCUGUCACCUACAUACUGUUAGAACAAAUCUUAAUGAUCCAUGUUUCCAUUGUGAAUCUUUGUAGAUUUUUAAUGCGAUUAAGAUGUAUUCAGAUUCAUUUCUUUGAUCAAUUUCUAUUAACAUUUAUUUAUGUCAA